This 558-nucleotide ribosomal RNA is filed under the name Trichoderma sp. INBio3014D. RNAcentral's name for it is "eukaryotic LSU rRNA". The stretch from base 190 to 343 matches the Rfam family "5.8S ribosomal RNA". The record is from RNAcentral. Lineage: Eukaryota; Fungi; Ascomycota; Sordariomycetes; Hypocreales; Hypocreaceae.
UCCAACCCAAAUGGUGGAACGUUACCAAACUGUUGCCUCGGCGGGAUCUCUGCCCCGGGUGCGUCGCAGCCCCGGACCAAGGCGCCCGCCGGAGGACCAACCAAAACUCUUAUUGUAUACCCCCUCGCGGGUUUUUUUACUAUCUGAGCCAUCUCGGCGCCCCUCGUGGGCGUUUCGAAAAUGAAUCAAAACUUUCAACAACGGAUCUCUUGGUUCUGGCAUCGAUGAAGAACGCAGCGAAAUGCGAUAAGUAAUGUGAAUUGCAGAAUUCAGUGAAUCAUCGAAUCUUUGAACGCACAUUGCGCCCGCCAGUAUUCUGGCGGGCAUGCCUGUCCGAGCGUCAUUUCAACCCUCGAACCCCUCCGGGGGGUCGGCGUUGGGGAUCGGCCCUUUACGGGGCCGGCCCCGAAAUACAGUGGCGGUCUCGCCGCAGCCUCUCCUGCGCAGUAGUUUGCACACUCGCAUCGGGAGCGCGGCGCGUCCACAGCCGUUAAACACCCCAAACUUCUGAAAUGUGACCUCGGAUCAGGUAGGAAUACCCGCUGAACUUAAGCAUAU